Gavialis gangeticus (Gharial) is the source of this 95-nucleotide long non-coding RNA. RefSeq lists it as uncharacterized. The transcript is spliced from 2 exons. NCBI's taxonomy places the organism in Eukaryota, Metazoa, Chordata, Crocodylia, Gavialidae. The record is from RefSeq and is a predicted model, not a curated record.
GACCUCAGGAGGUCACAUCUAGUCCAACCCCCUGCGCCAAGCAGGACCCGCCCCAACCACAUCAUCGCAGACAAGGCUUUGUCUAGCCGGGUCUU